This is a long non-coding RNA of Oenanthe melanoleuca, 430 nucleotides long. RefSeq lists it as uncharacterized. The transcript is spliced from 3 exons. NCBI's taxonomy places the organism in Eukaryota, Metazoa, Chordata, Aves, Passeriformes, Muscicapidae. The record is from RefSeq and is a predicted model, not a curated record.
UAGGAAUUUAAUAAGCUCAUUGGUCUGUUCAACUACCCCCCUUGCUUGGCUAGCUGGAUUUUAAACAGCUCCCAGGUAGGGAGAGAUACGGCCGAUAACUCCACUCGCAGCGCUGGACGGAGCCGGCUGGAAGAUAAACAUCCUUUCCGAAUCACAGGAGAAACCGAGGUCCGUCAGGACAGGACUACUGAUUGGACAAUUAUUACAGUGGAUCUGUCAAGCAGCCUAGUAGACGUGACCAUAUUGCAUAUGGAAAUGGAGAAGAAAACCUACCCUCCACUCAACCCAGUGAUGAACCCUUUCCAAGUUGUCUUCUUGUUAACACUGAACAGUUUGGCAGUGGCAUGGAUCAUCCCUCAGCCACGUCAAAACAUCUGGGUGACCCUGGUACCAACGCUCCAACAGGAAAACAUAUGUCUGUCCACUGCAA